UGGCGGACGGGUGAGUAACAUAUCGGAACGUACCGAGUAAUGGGGGAUAACUAAUCGAAAGAUUAGCUAAUACCGCAUAUUCUCUGAGGAGGAAAGCAGGGGACCUUCGGGCCUUGCGUUAUUCGAGCGGCCGAUAUCUGAUUAGCUAGUUGGUGGGGUAAAGGCCUACCAAGGCGACGAUCAGUAGCGGGUCUGAGAGGAUGAUCCGCCACACUGGGACUGAGACACGGCCCAG
This 235-nucleotide ribosomal RNA is filed under the name uncultured bacterium. RNAcentral's name for it is "partial 16S ribosomal RNA". It matches the Rfam family "Bacterial small subunit ribosomal RNA", at positions 96 to 334 of the family's 1533-position model. The record is from RNAcentral.